GACGUAGGGGGCAAGCGUUGUCCGGAUUCAUUGGGCGUAAAGAGCUCGUAGGCGGCUUGGCAAGUCAGAUGUGAAACCCUCAGGCUUAACCUGGGGCCGCCAUCUGAUACUGCUAUGGCUAGAGUCCGGUAGGGGAUCGUGGAAUUCCUGGAGUAGCGGUGAAAUGCACAGAUCUCAGGAGGAACACCAGUGGCGAAGGCGGCGAUCUGGGCCGGUACUGACGCUGAGGAGCGAAAGCGUGGGGAGCAAACAGG
This 254-nucleotide ribosomal RNA is filed under the name uncultured bacterium. Its description in RNAcentral is "partial 16S ribosomal RNA". It matches the Rfam family "Bacterial small subunit ribosomal RNA", at positions 524 to 776 of the family's 1533-position model. The record is from RNAcentral.